Molecule: ribosomal RNA, 500 nt
Filed under: uncultured bacterium
Lineage: Bacteria
Description: partial 16S ribosomal RNA
Rfam family: Bacterial small subunit ribosomal RNA
Source: RNAcentral
ACUCAAAGGAAUAGACGGGGGCCCGCACAAGCGGUGGAGCAUGUGGUUCAAUUCGACGCAACGCGAAGAACCUUACCUGGGCUCGAACGGCUUACGACAUCCCUGGAAACAGGGCUUUCCCCUUAAAAGGACGUGAGUCGAGGUGCUGCAUGGCUGUCGUCAGCUCGUGUCGUGAGAUGUUGGGUUAAGUCCCGCAACGAGCGCAACCCUUGUCCUGUGUUACCAUGCCGAAAGGCGGCACUCGCAGGAGACCGCCAGCGAUAAGCUGGAGGAAGGUGGGGAUGACGUCAAGUCCUCAUGGCCUUUAUGUCCAGGGCUACACACGUGCUACAAUGGGCGGUACAAAGCGAUGCUAAGCCGCAAGGUGGAGCCAAUCGCAGAAAGCCGCUCUCAGUUCGGAUUGCAGGCUGCAACUCGCCUGCAUGAAGCUGGAAUCGCUAGUAAUGCUAUAUCAGAACGAUAGCGUGAAUACGUUCCCGGGCCUUGCACACACCGCCCGU